This 1172-nucleotide long non-coding RNA is filed under the name Gallus gallus (chicken). The record is from RNAcentral. Lineage: Eukaryota; Metazoa; Chordata; Aves; Galliformes; Phasianidae.
ACGAGAAUGCCUUUAUUUAAAAAAAAAAGAAAAAAAAAGAAAAGUCAUCAAAAUAAGUUAGCAAAAAUAAUAAUUAAAAAAAGAAAACACAAACAAAUGGCAACUGCACACAGCGGUCAGUAGGAAAGCCGGCGAAGGCAGCCCGCCGGAGAGAGACCUUGGUCGAAGAGCAACUUGGAAACAGCCACAUUGGCUGUGGCACACGUGUUGGCCCCCAAGGAAGGAAAGCCCCCGGCCUGGGGGACCCAGGGCCACCGCCAGCCACCGCCAUCACACUUCUCCCCUUUUCUUUUUUCCACCGGUGGGAACGUUUGGAGAGGAGUGGGAAAGGAUUUGGGCGGUUUCAGCGCUGCAGUCCACAGUGUCGGAGGGGUAAUUAUGAUUUCCAGCUGCUGGAUCCUUCCAGCAUCACCAUCCCACCCCGUUUCCAGCUCAGAGAGCCGCGGGGCUUUGCGCCAGCUCAGUUUUGGACCCGCUCCUCUGGGAACGUCACGGCCACGUCCUCCACGGCGAUGCUCUCCACGAUGGAGGAGAGCGAGUGGAGGUUGCGGUCCUCUGCCUGGUCAUCGCUCAGGAGGUGAUCUGCGGGGUUGGUGCCAAACUCCAGCUGGGUGCUCCACUCAGGGCUGCAGGAUGAGCUGCCAGAGCCGCACUCGCUGGGUGCAGCAGGUUGUGGUGCAGCGGGGCGGUAGCGCAGCUCCCUCUGCUCACGCUCCUGCUGGUUGAGGCUGCUGAGCAGGCUCUGCAGGCGCUCGAUGUACUGGAUGGCGCUGCGCAGGAUCUCCACCUUGGGCAGCCGCUGGUUGGGGUUGAGCAGAGUGCUGCGUUUCAGAGCCUCGAAGGCUUCGUUCACCUUCUUCAGCCUCCGCUUCUCCCGCAGCGUGGCCGCCCGACGCCGGUCGAUGGACACGGUUUUGCGCUUGCAGAUUUUGCAAGCCCAUGGCAAGCAUUGCCCGGGGCAGUGCUCGGGCAGCGUCGAGUCCUUCUCCUCCAAAGCCCCUCUGCUUUCAGGGCACAGGGUCACCUCGGGACGCUCAGGAAACGCGGCCGCCUCGUAGCCCUGCAAGCGGGAGCCCAGGAAGUUUUCCCCAUCGUAAAACCUCUGCUCCGGGAAAAAGUAAGGGUUGGUCUCAAAGAGCUCCAUGGGAGGACGUGUGCGCGGCUCGGGGACG